RNAcentral lists this ribosomal RNA (253 nucleotides) under uncultured bacterium. Its description in RNAcentral is "partial 16S ribosomal RNA". It matches the Rfam family "Bacterial small subunit ribosomal RNA", at positions 524 to 776 of the family's 1533-position model. The record is from RNAcentral.
UACGGAGGGGGUUAGCGUUGUUCGGAAUGACUGGGCGUAAAGCGCGCGUAGGCGGAUCAUCAAGUCGGGGGUGAAAUCCCGGGGCUCAACCCCGGAAUGGCCUUCGAGACUGGUGGUCUUGAGUUCGAGAGAGGUGAGUGGAAUUCCGAGUGUAGAGGUGAAAUUCGUAGAUAUUCGGAGGAACACCAGUGGCGAAGGCGGCUCACUGGCUCGACACUGACGCUGAGGUGCGAAAGCAUGGGGAGCAAACAGG